This is an RNA transcript of Triticum dicoccoides, 1240 nucleotides long. RefSeq lists it as uncharacterized. The transcript has 3 exons. Lineage: Eukaryota; Viridiplantae; Streptophyta; Magnoliopsida; Poales; Poaceae. The record is from RefSeq and is a predicted model, not a curated record.
CUCCUCCCUUUCCAGCGAUGGCAGCGACGGCGGAGCACGAGCAGGUGAGGUGCGGCGCCUUCGUCGGACCGCUACAGCCACGGCGGAGGAGAAGGUGGACGCCAUGGGCGCGGCUACAGAGGAGGCGGAGGAGAAGGCGGACGUCGUGUGCUUGCUACACGGCUACAACCGAGGCGGAGGAGAAGGCGGAUGCCAUGGCCUUGCUGCGCUCAUGGGCGUUCUUGAGGAUGGUACACCGGCCGUGCCGCCGCCAGUCCUCUCUGGCCUCCCGCGUGUUAUCCUUCUCAACCUCCGCUCCUCCUGUCGUGAUUUGGAUGGGAAAUUGGAGGCCGGCCAUGUCCUUGUCCAACACAUAUUGAUGUAGUGCCCGACCCGGAUUUGAUUGGCUGUUAUAAGAAGCAAAGGUCCUCGGUCGGAAUCUCCAUCAGGUUUUGCCCUUCGACCAUAAUCUCCAUCAUCCCAUCGAAAUAGCAAUUUUUGACCAAACAUCCAAUGUCGCCGCCAAGUUCGCCGGACGAAGAAGCGCCGAGUUCGCCGGAGGAACAAGAACGCCCGUCGAGCCGUGCAAUGUCUCUUGUGGCGGCUACACGAGAGUGCCAUCCUUCUUCCGUGAUGCUGCUGCAUGCCAGGAUUCGCAGUGGCACCGCCGCAACCAGCAAGGACACAAGAUCACGAGGAUUGUUGCCGCUUCCGAGGACAUGGGAGCUGCCAUAGCCAGCGAGUACGUGAGCACACACAGUCACCAUCACUUAAGAGGAUGCGAGAGCCAUCUCAGCUUGAGAGGAUGCGCAUACCAUCUCCGGGUAUAUAGCAGUAACAUCUCUCCCUAACUCCACUCUGAUAUGUAGCAUUUUUUUCUAUCCUAUUGUGAGACUGCAGUGUGUGCAACAAGUGUUCUUCUAAAUGUCUGAGCAUAAAGACUGCUCAUGGGUGAUGCUUCUGAGACCAAACGUCUAUGUGAGGGAGUUCUAUGAAUACACUCCGAGGGCGGGGAUCCCAUUUCAAUGAAAUCAUGCUACGUACUAUAACUUAAACACGCCAAGAAGAUGAGGGAUAGUCCUUCGUUGGAGCUAUAUUUCUUCCAAGGAUGGUUGUUGGCAUGGAUCAGCACCAGUAAUACCCUGAAUUUUCUGAACUUGGCUCCUCUAGCCUAACUUGAUGAUGAAAGUUUCAGUCAAAUGAAUUUAUUAUGUAUAUUUGGCUUGGAGUUAAUCCCAAAAAAAUAAAUUUCUUAUGUCUA